ACGUAGGGUGCAAGCGUUAAUCGGAAUUACUGGGCGUAAAGCGUGCGCAGGCGGUUGUGCAAGACAGGUGUGAAAUCCCCGGGCUUAACCUGGGAACUGCACUUGUGACUGCACGGCUUGAGUGCGGCAGAGGGGGAUGGAAUUCCGCGUGUAGCAGUGAAAUGCGUAGAUAUGCGGAGGAACACCGAUGGCGAAGGCAAUCCCCUGGGCCUGCACUGACGCUCAUGCACGAAAGCGUGGGGAGCAAACAGGAUUAGAUACCCUGGUAGUCCACGCCCUAAACGAUGUCAACUGGUUGUUGGGUCUCUUCUGACUCAGUAACGAAGCUAACGCGUGAAGUUGACCGCCUGGGGAGUACGGCCGCAAGGUUG
RNAcentral lists this ribosomal RNA (371 nucleotides) under uncultured bacterium. RNAcentral's name for it is "bacterial SSU rRNA". It matches the Rfam family "Bacterial small subunit ribosomal RNA", at positions 525 to 896 of the family's 1533-position model. The record is from RNAcentral.